UUAAGUUAAUAAGGGCGCACGGUGAAUGCCUAGGCACUAGGAGCCGAUGAAGGACGGGACUAACGCCGAAACGCUUCGGGGAGCUGUAAGUAAGCUUUGAUCCGGAGAUAUCCGAAUGGGGAAACCCACCAUCUUUAAUAGGAUGGUAUUCUUACCUGAAUACAUAGGGUAAGGAAGGCAGACCCGGGGAACUGAAACAUCUAAGUACCCGGAGGAAGAGAAAGCAAACGCGAUUACCUGAGUAGCGGCGAGCGAAACGGUAGAAGCCCAAACCAAGAGGCAUGCCUCUUGGGGUUGUAGGACACUCAAAACGGAGUUACAAAAGAAUGAUGUAGGUGAAGCGACAUGGAAAGGUCGGCCGAAGAAGGUAACAGCCCUGUAGCUGAAACAUCAUUCACUCUUGAGUGGAUCCUGAGUACGGCGGGACACGAGAAAUCCCGUCGGAAGCAGGGAGGACCAUCUCCCAAGGCUAAAUACUCCCUAGUGACCGAUAGUGAACCAGUACCGUGAGGGAAAGGUGAAAAGCACCCCGGGAGGGGAGUGAAAGAGAACCUGAAACCGUGUGCCUACAAGUAGUCAGAGCCCGUUCAAGGGUGAUGGCGUGCCUUUUGUAGAAUGAACCGGCGAGUUACGAUCUCGUGCAAGGUUAAGUUGAAGAAACGGAGCCGCAGCGAAAGCGAGUCUUAAGAGGGCGAGUAAGUACGAGGUCGUAGACCCGAAACCAGGUGAUCUACCCAUGUCCAGGGUGAAGGUAGGGUAACACCUACUGGAGGCCCGAACCCACGCACGUUGAAAAGUGCGGGGAUGAGGUGUGGGUAGCGGAGAAAUUCCAAUCGAACUUGGAGAUAGCUGGUUCUCCCCGAAAUAGCUUUAGGGCUAGCCUUAAGAAAAGAGUCUUGGAGGUAGAGCACUGAUUGGACUAGGGGCCCCCAUCGGGUUACCGAAUUCAGUCAAACUCCGAAUGCCAAGCACUUAUGCUUAGGAGUCAGACUACGAGUGAUAAGGUCCGUGGUCAAGAGGGAAACAGCCCAGACCACCAGCUAAGGUCCCAAAGUGUACGUUAAGUGGCAAAGGAUGUGGAGUUGCCCAGACAACCAGGAUGUUGGCUUAGAAGCAGCCACCAUUUAAAGAGUGCGUAAUAGCUCACUGGUCGAGUGACUCUGCGCCGAAAAUGUAACGGGGCUAAACGUACCACCGAAGCUGUGGGUGAACAGAAAUGUUCGCGGUAGGGGAGCGUUCUAAGGGCAUUGAAGCUAGACCGGAAGGACUGGUGGAGCGCUUAGAAGUGAGAAUGCCGGUGUAAGUAGCGAAAAGACAGGUGAGAAUCCUGUCCAUCGAAAGCCUAAGGUUUCCUGAGGAAGGCUCGUCCGCUCAGGGUAAGUCGGGACCUAAGCCGAGGCCGAAAGGCGUAGGCGAUGGCCAACAGGUUGAAAUUCCUGUACCACCUCAUUACCGUUUUCCCGCAAGGGGACAAGGGGCACUAAGCGCUAAAGCGCAAAGACCCCCUUCGAAGCAAUGGAGGGACGCAGGAGGAUAGGGCAAGCGCGCUGUUGGAAAUGCGCGUCCAAGCAGGUAGGCUGAGAAGUAGGCAAAUCCGCUUCUCGAAAAGGCUGAGCUGUGAUGGCGAGGGAAAAACAGUACCGAAGUUCCUGAUUCCACACUGCCAAGAAAAGCUUCUAGCGAGGUAGAAGGUGCCCGUACCGCAAACCGACACAGGUAGGCGAGGAGAGAAUCCUAAGAUGCGCGAGAGAACUCUCGUUAAGGAACUCGGCAAAAUGACCCCGUAACUUCGGGAGAAGGGGUGCUCUGAUAGCGUGCAAGCGUGAGAGAGCCGCAGUGAAUAGGCCCAAGCGACUGUUUAGCAAAAACACAGGUCUCUGCGAAGCCGUAAGGCGAAGUAUAGGGGCUGACACCUGCCCGGUGCUGGAAGGUUAAGAGGAGAGGUUAUCGCAAGAGAAGCUUUGAAUCGAAGCCCCAGUAAACGGCGGCCGUAACUAUAACGGUCCUAAGGUAGCGAAAUUCCUUGUCAGGUAAGUUCUGACCCGCACGAAAGGUGUAACGACUUGGGCACUGUCUCAACGAGAGACUCGGUGAAAUCAUAGUACCUGUGAAGAUGCAGGUUACCCGCGACAGGACGGAAAGACCCCGUGGAGCUUUACUGCAGCCUGAUAUUGAAUUUUGGUACAGCUUGUACAGGAUAGGUAGGAGCCUGGGAAGUGGGAGCGCCAGCUUCCAUGGAGGCAAUGGUGGGAUACUACCCUGGCUGUAUUGAAAUUCUAACCCACAUCUGUAAACCAGAUGGGAGACAGUGUCAGGUGGGCAGUUUGACUGGGGCGGUCGCCUGUAGGAGCCUGGGAAGUGGGAGCGCCAGCUUCCAUGGAGGCAACGGUGGGAUACUACCCUGGCUGUAUUGAAAUUCUAACCCACGACCAAAAGCAGGUUGGGAGACAGUGUCAGGUGGGCAGUUUGACUGGGGCGGUCGCCUCCCAAAGAGUAACGGAGGCGCCCAAAGGUUCCCUCAGAAUGGUUGGAAAUCAUUCGGAGAGUGUAAAGGCACAAGGGAGCUUGACUGCGAGACCUACAAGUCGAGCAGGGACGAAAGUCGGGCUUAGUGAUCCGGUGGUACCGCAUGGAAGGGCCAUCGCUCAACGGAUAAAAGCUACCCCGGGGAUAACAGGCUUAUCUCCCCCAAGAGUCCACAUCGACGGGGAGGUUUGGCACCUCGAUGUCGGCUCAUCGCAUCCUGGGGCUGUAGUCGGUCCCAAGGGUUGGGCUGUUCGCCCAUUAAAGCGG
Molecule: ribosomal RNA, 2793 nt
Filed under: Calidifontibacillus oryziterrae
Lineage: Bacteria; Bacillati; Bacillota; Bacilli; Caryophanales; Bacillaceae
Description: bacterial LSU rRNA
Rfam family: Bacterial large subunit ribosomal RNA
Source: RNAcentral